GAUUCAUGAGGGCAGCUGAGAAAGAAGGAGAUCUUGGAGGGGGGCUGUGCCUGCCUGUGGAGCAGCUUCUUUCCUGGACCGAGUGCUCGCAAACAACACGAGAACAGAGGGAACAGCAGUGUCUGCCCGGGACCCACCUCUUGCAGGCAGCCACCUCCUCAGUUAACUGGGAACAAAAUCGGAAGCAGUUGUGCAAUGCAGCUCCUGUGCCAUCACGGCCUCCUGUGGGCUCCUUGCUGUGUUUACGGACAAACGGUUCUGGGCAGCAGACAGGCAUCUCAGAGGGAGUCCAGGAGCACACACACAUUGCACAACCCAGCACGGUCUUCUGUCCCCUGUGCUGCAGGCCUCCAGGAAGACAGGCAGCUGACACUGGGCAGGCAGGCCACCUGUAUGCUGCCCCCAGGCUGAGCACGCAUGGCGUGUGACCCAGCCUUGGAGGUGCUGUCUGGGUGCCCACGAUGCCACUCACUGUUGCCAGCCCCAGUUUCCCGUUCUGCCUGCGGUGCGGAGGAGAAGUCAGCAUGCAGUGAUUCGUGGCCACUGGGCACUCUGCCAGGCGGGGCAUGACUCUCCUGUAGUUUUGGCUGUGGGCCCCAGGUGUGGACUGUAACCCGCUUACAGGAGGAAGAUGAGCGAAAGCGGCUUUUAGGAAAAGCCUUGGGGAAGAGCCACAGGCUCCCCUGCGGAGGGCUCUGUCAGCGGGCGGGGGCAGCUGCAGUGUCUGGCAUCGGUCGGCCUGAGAAGCAGCCAUGAGCAAGAGGAGGCAGAAGCUGCAGUACCCAGACGCUGUGCUGUAUUCAAAACGAGGACCAGAGCUCCUUCCCAGGAGCCCGCUGUCCAGGUAUUGGAUCCGGCGUGGCCCUUGCCAAGCGCUCCAGCCAGUAGACCAGACGCCAUACCCAGAGGGAUUUGACACCCAGUGUUUAUUUCCCGUGUUCUGAUUUAAAUGUGCGUCACAGCCUGCACUCAGCCCGGCGCUCCUGCUGCAAACGUUCACUCCACGAGCAGCUUGAAGGUGAGGGCUUUUUCCGGUUCGUCGGCUUAUUUGAUGUUUGGUGGGAGCCCUGUGUUGUCGGUGGAAUGUGGUGUUUCUGAUCUCAGCAGGGAAGUGACUUGAAUAAGGUUAGAGAUGCCAGUAAACCCAGUUUUGAGUCCGGGUUCGCAAAGGACUGACUUUGUUUCUUCACUGCCAAAGGCUACGGGCCGCAGCCCUGCGCCUCCACCCUUACGGGACGACUGUCUUCACCUGUCAGACUAGGGCACAGCCAGAGCCUCUGUUCACCGACGUCAUCAGCAAAUGUGGAUUGGUUUAUUCGCAAUGGGGCGAGGAGACCUUGUCCCGUCUGCACUAUUAAAUUCAGGAACUCAAGGGUGCCACUGAAAGGAAGAUGCUCAGUGCUGAGGGCUGUGGGCAGGGGAAGGAGGAAAAGGGUCAGUGGGAUCUGGAUGGCAAUCCCUAGGUGAGGCAACCCUGUGUCUUUGGGGUCUCACUCAUGGAUGGGAUGGAUGGACGAGGUCCAUGGACCACAUUUAGAGGAAGG
Equus quagga is the source of this 1544-nucleotide long non-coding RNA. RefSeq lists it as uncharacterized. The transcript has 3 exons. Lineage: Eukaryota; Metazoa; Chordata; Mammalia; Perissodactyla; Equidae. The record is from RefSeq and is a predicted model, not a curated record.